GAGUUAGCCGAGGCUUAUUCGUCAGGUACCGUCAGAUCUCCUUCCCUGACAAAAGAGGUUUACAACCCAAAAGCCUUCCUCCCUCACGCGGUCUUGCUCCGUCAGGCUUUCGCCCAUUGCGGAAAAAUUCCCC
RNAcentral lists this ribosomal RNA (133 nucleotides) under uncultured bacterium. RNAcentral's name for it is "partial 16S ribosomal RNA". The record is from RNAcentral.